This 566-nucleotide ribosomal RNA is filed under the name uncultured bacterium. RNAcentral describes it as "partial 16S ribosomal RNA". It matches the Rfam family "Bacterial small subunit ribosomal RNA", at positions 355 to 914 of the family's 1533-position model. The record is from RNAcentral.
UGGGGAAUUUUGGACAAUGGGCGAAAGCCUGAUCCAGCAAUGCCGCGUGUGUGAAGAAGGCCUUCGGGUUGUAAAGCACUUUUGUCCGGAAAGAAAUCCUCUGGGUUAAUACCUCGGGGGGAUGACGGUACCGGAAGAAUAAGCACCGGCUAACUACGUGCCAGCAGCCGCGGUAAUACGUAGGGUGCAAGCGUUAAUCGGAAUUACUGGGCGUAAAGCGUGCGCAGGCGGUUUUGUAAGACGGAUGUGAAACCCCCGGGCUUAACCUGGGAACUGCAUUCGUGACUGCAAGGCUAGAGUAUGGCAGAGGGGGGUAGAAUUCCACGUGUAGCAGUGAAAUGCGUAGAGAUGUGGAGGAAUACCGAUGGCGAAGGCAGCCCCCUGGGCCAAUACUGACGCUCAUGCACGAAAGCGUGGGGAGCAAACAGGAUUAGAUACCCUGGUAGUCCACGCCCUAAACGAUGUCAACUAGUUGUUGGGGAUUCAUUUCCUUAGUAACGUAGCUAACGCGUGAAGUUGACCGCCUGGGGAGUACGGUCGCAAGAUUAAAACUUAAAGGAAUUGAC